This 253-nucleotide ribosomal RNA is filed under the name uncultured bacterium. Its description in RNAcentral is "partial 16S ribosomal RNA". It matches the Rfam family "Bacterial small subunit ribosomal RNA", at positions 524 to 776 of the family's 1533-position model. The record is from RNAcentral.
GACGAACCGAGCGAACGUUGUUCGGAAUCACUGGGCUUAAAGGGUGCGUAGGCGGUCUGCCAAGUUUGAGGUGAAAUCCUCCGGCUCAACCGGGGAAGUGCCUUGAAUACUGGCGGUCUGGAGGGAGGUAGGGGCGUGCGGAACUAACGGUGGAGCGGUGAAAUGUGUUGAUAUCGUUAGGAACUCCGGUGGCGAAGGCGGCACGCUAGACCUCUUCUGACGCUGAGGCACGAAAGCCAGGGGAGCGAACGGG